Sinocyclocheilus grahami is the source of this 334-nucleotide long non-coding RNA. RefSeq lists it as uncharacterized. The record is from RefSeq and is a predicted model, not a curated record. The transcript is spliced from 3 exons. Lineage: Eukaryota; Metazoa; Chordata; Actinopteri; Cypriniformes; Cyprinidae.
UUUUUUAUUUCAGAUACAGACAGCGACAAGUCGGAAACGAAUGUAUCUUUACGUUAACCAGCUUUACGCACUGUUUCCCCCCUCAUAUCGAAACAGGUGUUCACAUUAUGAAUUAGCUGUUUACAUCAGCGCACCCAAGUAGUCGUCUCAGGUUGUCAUCGAGCUAAAGACUGUAAGCCAACAUGAGUCCAGAAGGAAAGACCCUGCUGAACAUCAUAAUCCUGGGCUUGGGGUUCAUGGUUAUGUUUACUGCCUUCGGCACGUGCGGGAAUAUUGAACAAACCGUAAUAAAGAGUUUCAACAGUACAGAGUUUCAUGGAAGUGGCUACACAAG